UACGGGGGGAGCAAGCGUUGUUCGGAAUUACUGGGCGUAAAGGGCUCGUAGGCGGCCAACUAAGUCAGACGUGAAAUCCCCAGGCUCAACCUGGGAACUGCGUCUGAUACUGGAUGGCUUGAAUUCGGGAGAGGGAUGCAGAAUUCCAGGUGUAGCGGUGAAAUGCGUAGAUAUCUGGAGGAAUACCGGUGGCGAAGGCGGCAUCCUGGACCGACAUUGACGCUGAUGAGCGAAAGCUAGGGGAGCAAACGGG
RNAcentral lists this ribosomal RNA (253 nucleotides) under uncultured bacterium. RNAcentral describes it as "partial 16S ribosomal RNA". It matches the Rfam family "Bacterial small subunit ribosomal RNA", at positions 524 to 776 of the family's 1533-position model. The record is from RNAcentral.